This 253-nucleotide ribosomal RNA is filed under the name uncultured bacterium. Its description in RNAcentral is "partial 16S ribosomal RNA". It matches the Rfam family "Bacterial small subunit ribosomal RNA", at positions 524 to 776 of the family's 1533-position model. The record is from RNAcentral.
UACGUAGGUGACCAGCGUUGUCCGGAUUUACUGGGCGUAAAGAGCGCGCAGGCGGUCGUUCAAGUCGAGUGUGAAAGCCCCCGGCUCAACUGGGGAGGGUCACUCGAUACUGAUCGACUUGAAGGCAGGAGAGGGAAGCGGAAUUCCCGGUGUAGUGGUGAAAUGCGUAGAUAUCGGGAGGAACACCGGUGGCGAAGGCGGGUCUCUGGGCCGAUACUGACGCUGAGGAGCGAAAGCGUGGGGAGCGAACAGG